UCUCUUCAGCUUCAUCUUGUUCUACAGAGCUCUGAAGCCUUGGUGUUGGAUCCAGACAAUUCCUCUCCCAGGUUUUCUGUGACCUGCAAGGGUAGGAAGAACCCACACAAUGCUUAUUUCAUAGCCAGGUAUCCACAUUCUAGUGCACUACUGGGAUCUCUCCUAUGUCCUGGCUUCCCAAAUCCCGCUGGUGGAUGAGCUGCACUGGGGCUGAAACCCUGCCUGGCCAUGAAGUGCAUUUUAAAGCCCUGCUGUAAAUGCCUCAGGCUCACCAGCCAGCCAUUAGGAGAACACUCCUUUGUCUUCCAAGACCCGAGAUGUCUGCAGGGAGAAUCUGACACUAAUCCUUAUGGAAAAACCAUUGGAUUUAUAGGGAUGAAGUCAAUAGGCUUGGAUGAAAACGGCUGUAAAACUCUAAGGAAUGGACAGGAGAAGCAAAGCCAUGUUACACAAGAAGCUUAAGUGCAUAAGACGCUGCAGCAUAAGUGCCUGUGUCCUCAUCCCAAGGCUUUUGACAGAAAUUACGGCUGAACUGCUCCUAGGAUGAAGGAUGGGAGACAAGCUCAUGGCUAAGAACCUGAGGAAACACAACGUGGAGAAGGCAGGGGUUGUGCAGGCCGGGUGAGUGCACUGGCUGACACCCAAAUGCCAGAUGAAGGACAUGUGCAUCCACUCCUGCUAUUUAAAUAAAACCAUAAAAUGUGAAUGCUGUCCAAUGAAGAUUCCUGAGGUGGCAGCUAAAUCCUCAGCAGCAAAAGCAGUAUUAGAUGCAGGAUAUGUGUUUUGGCAAGUGUGCUCAGAUGAGCUAACCCCUAAGCUAGUGGCUUUUACUGUGCUAGUUGGAUGUUGUAAAUUUAAGCAGAUGAUGCUUGGUAUUAGUUUUGCUCCUGGGAUAUUUCAGAGAGUAAUUGCACAUAUCUCUGAGGGAUUACAAGGUGCUGAAGUUAUAAUGGAUGGACUUUGAAUUUAAACUAGAUGCCUUUAGGAACAGAAGGAAAGGUUUAGGCUGGUUUUACAGACAGCAAGAAUGCUGAAUAUAAAAUGCCAAAAGCCUCACCUAAAAUAAUUUGCUGAUUAUGGGCAGCUACAAAUUAAAUAAUAAUAAAACUCCACAUGGCUGGAAUCCCUAUUCCACUCAACAAAGCAGAGCUGUAAGGAAACAAUAGAUGCCUUCAUCAAAUUUCAUUCUACAGCUAUUUACAGUUAACAAACAAUGGAAAGAUUUGCCAGAGAAAGGCCCUUACCUGAUCCUGGAGCAGUAAAAACGUCCCCCUGCUGCCAAACCAUCAGUUCAAAUACCGUGUGCAAGACCUUAGGCUGGGUCUUUGCUGUCCAUCAGCAGAUGGACACGUCACAUCCUGAACCUGCAGGAGUGUCUUCGGAAGUUCUAGGCAAUGGCAAGCAGCUGGAGGUUACAUUGUCCUCAAAAAUGUCAGGAAUCUCUUGCAAUGUGAAGGAAUCACCAGAAGCAUGCCUGGAGUGAUGGCCACCUAUAGGAACUGUCUCCUCUGGCACCGGACACUGAACUAUCACUUAAUUCAUCUCUGUGGGGAGACUGGAAUGGAAGAGUGUCACAGCAGAUACAUCUCUGUCCCCUGAGCUGACCCUGUGGCUUCACACCCUGUGAGACACACGUGAGGCCCUGAGACACCCUGUGUCUCCUCCAGAGACCGUUCCAGGAUGACUGAAUCCACCUGGGAUGCUUUAGAUGCAGCUCUGCAACCAACCUCCUGUGUCCUGUGUGGCAGGUUCAGUGCCCCAGGGGACACCUUGGCUUCAGCAGUUCAGCCCCCAGGGUGGCUGCAUGGGGCCUCUGGAUGCUUGGCAUGGUGGCAGGAUGGUGACUUCCAAGGCUGGCACUGCCAGCUGCCCUCAGCAGUGUCUGCCCAGCCAUGGGAUGUGGAUCCAGUGCUGGUUUCCAUCCCAUUACUUGCAGGAGCAAUUCCCACUGCAGAUACAGCCCCUGCAAAUACUCCACAGCCUGGCAGGAACGUGGCUUGGCCACCACACUGCCCAUGCCCAGCUCUGUUCCUAAAUCCCCUGAUGUGGUGACACUGCAGAGGAGCAAGGACCUGCCCCAGGACCAUGCAUCUUCUGCCAAAGCACCGAGUCUCCUUCUCCUGGCAACAAGCCCAGCCACAGCAGGGAAAUUAAUGCAGGAAUGGCUUGUUCUCAAGUAGGAUAAAGGGUCCUGGAAUUGCUUUUUUGGGGUGUAAGGAGGGAGUUUUAUGGGCUCUAUUUUCUGCUUCUAAUAAUGAUAUUUGAUCUAAACAGUUCCACGCCUUGGAGUCCACAACAGAUGGGGAGUUCACAUCUACAAGGAUGAAAAUGCUCAUCCUGCCAAGCCUUUGAUUCUCAGCGUAUCCUUCCUACCCUACAAACAGGCGGACAGCACAUUUCUAGCAUAAAAAUAUCCUCCUCUCCAGCUAACCACCUCCAGAUUCCCUUCCUGAGCCUGUUCUGAGCCUGGUGCUUAGACAUUUCUAUAUACAUAAACAUUCAGAUCAUCUCCACAAGGUUCUUCCUGUCUCACAAGCAAAUCCUGAGACCAGCAGCUAUUUGCAGCUCCUUGAAAGACAAAUAGGUUCUUUCCAAGUUGACUGCUGUGGCUGGGGCUCUCCAUGCACCUCUCCCCAGGGUUUCUGGCUGUACCUCCCAUCCCAGGACACUGAAAUGUCCAUCACCUCCUUCCUGGGAGACCAAACUGCUCCAAACACCCCGUGUAUGGCUGCCAGUGAUGGUCAAGGGACUGGGAAAGGGUCAAGCCUAGGGAUUGCGUAGACUGGGAAACAUUUUGGACUGGGAUGCAGCAUGGGAGUGCCUGGGCAUAGGCACACUUGCAGAGGGAGGUUGCAGACCCAUGCCAAAACCCACACAAAGCAGUGGAGGAAUGAACAACAGACGCACACACCCGUGCAAACUGCUUUCUCUUUGAUGGAGGAUUGUAGAAACAUUACCUUCCCCUGGGGCUUUGCAGUGAAAUAACCUGAUUAUUCAUGAACCAGCCAGAAUCAUCAAUCCCUCAUUUAUCAUUUUCAACAUAAAUAAUAAAGGCAAGAGAGGAACACACCAGCAAUAAACCAGUUAUAGAUGUAGUGUUGAAAUCUGCCCAUAUCCUUUAAAUGUGCCCCACUUACUGAUAACAAACAGGGAUCCAGCCGACUCCUCACCUGAUUCCUGAGCGUUGGAUUUCAAAGGACACAAGCCAGUGCUCAGCUUUAUGUGAGUGAAAGUCCAUUUGGCGCUCGCGUGGGCGGCCAGCUAGGAAAUGGCAGCAAGUUUUAAAAAACCCACAUUUGUCUUGCUGACAAAUGCCUCCAGGAAAUAAAAGCCUUUGUGUUCUUCUUUGACCUCUUCCACUCACAGAUGGGUUUUGCUGUGCUUCCGACAGUGAUUUUUUUUAACGCCUGCGCUUCCAGGAUAUUUAUUUUAUCUGCUGACGAGCACGGCUCGGAGAGGCCACGAUGCACAUCAUAUUAUGGGUCUGCUGUGGCCAAGUAGGAUGGCCUUGGACAGGCAGAGUUGGGGUUUUCACUUCAAGUCCAGCUGCAAAUGAGGCAUUUUGGGAUGGCAGCGUCUCUUGGAGCAUCCUUGGCUGGUUGAGCACCAGCUUCACCCUGAGAUACACAUUGACCCAGAGGAGAGAGCACCCAGAGCCACGCAGGUCCCUCAGUGUCUGGGAGAGGAGCUGAACAUCCUUCCAGCUCUAGUCUGAGCCUGUUUUCUGAGCAGACCGAAGGUGGAGUGGAGCAGGGAAUGGAGGAGCAGCCUUUGAGGCUUAGGGUGCUUUGCUAAGCAGAGCUCUGCCCUGAACUCUGCAGGCUCUCCUUUCUGAGUCCCCUGGGACUUGUUCUGGCAGCGCCAGCCCUGUGUGUGAGCCCAGCCAUGGCUGAGGCACUCUGGUAAUGAGCCACAUGUUCCCAAGGCCCCCAGGCUUGGCAGGACCUUCUGGAGCCCAGCUCUGCCAACAGGCAGCCCCACUCAGCACUUCUGGUGAAGGUUUCCCUUGCCCUCCCCCUGCCACUCGCUUCACUCCUCCAAGGGUCUCUCCCCUAUGUGCACUCUGAAAGAAAUGGGGAGGGAAAUCAGAGUGUUUAAACACUGCCUAACGGUGAAAAAUAACAUCUGGAGAACAGCCUUGCCCUUCACAGAGUCCUCCACCUCCACAUCUCCCAGCAGAAAACAGAUCCAGAAGGAACCCAUCAGCUCAGCACUGGGACCAACUCUCCCUGCGGGUGCCAUUGGCUUGGGGACAGCAGCCACUGCCCAGGGGACACAGGGACCCAGGAGCCCUGGAGAAAUGGGUGGCUGGCCAAAGCCACACUCACUGCUGGGAGAUUUUAGAGAGUAAGGGAAGCUCAGCCAGGGGUGACUCCUUGCCCUCCCAUGCUGGCCCAUCUUCCCCAUUCCCCCAGGAAACAAACCUGCUUCAUUCGAGCCUGUUUCCACAGAGGUUCUUCCAGCCAACAUUAACACACUCUGCUUUACUUCCCAGCAUGGCCUGGGGCAGAAAGCAACAUCUGAACCUAAUAAAAAGGCUGGCCUCCCCCUCAAAGAGACCCAAAAGCAACCUGUACUAUUUGGUUUCCAGCCUCUGCUGUUUGGUUUUUCCUCACCAGUGAAUGGAGGAGGCAGCUCCAGCUCAGGGGCUCUGGCUGGCCUGAAGGGAAGCAGGAUGUUCUGUCGGCCCAUGGAGACCAGUAGCUUAAAAAUGAGUCCAGUGGGGUGGAGCCAGAUGGGUUUCAAUGCUAAGGAGCCAGUUGUGACUUCUCACUGGGGAAUAAGGACUCGUUCUUCCCUUGAACAGAAAGGUGCUCCUUUUCAGUUCCAAAAACGGGAAAGCUGGAGAUGGCUCUAAGCCAGGCCCAGGAUUAACAUCCUCAUGGGGGAAAGCUCUGCUUUGGUCCCACUGGAAUGCAGAUCCAGACCUGGCACCCAUCUUCAGGCACACGCUGAGCAGGUUCCUUGUGUCUGACCUCUGCCAGCGGCUUCACUUUCUGGAAAGGGCUCGGAAUGAAACAGCAACAGAAAAUACUCCUGGGCCUUGGGCAGAGCUGGAUCAGGAUUUCGCAGCUGACGUCUGGACUUUAGCAAACAAACACCUGAGUCAGUGGAGUCCAAACCUCUUCAGAAUCUGUGUCUCACUGGGGCUGAUUUGGGGCCCAUCAGGCCACAGCUGCUGACAGCUGCGCAGAGCAGGUGGAGGGACGUGUUGAAUUAGGAUGGAGUGACUUCAAUGGCAACCUCCUGGAUGGUGCUGCUUGGUUGUUUGCUCUUCAUGAAACCUUCCCUUCCUCCUGUGCCAUUGGAGGCAGGAGGGGAACCCCCAGAAGCUCCCGGCACUGUGCCUGUCCCACGGGCAUAAUGUUUUCCACAAAUACUGACCUGCAGCUUUAUGGAACAACUGCCCACAGGUGAGACCUCAGAACAACCUCCCCAGGGCUCCUGCUGGCUCCAUGAGUUUCCUCAGCAUCUGCUCAGGAGCACUGGGGCUGCCAUGGCAAUUAAUAAUGACUAAUCUAGAUGCACCAUCGUUUAUAUGGCCAGUGUGGUCAGCAUCUCCUCUGCCCUGACUUACCUCAGGAAAUACUGCAACAGUUUUCUCCAAGCUGAACAUGCAUUUAGUCAUCAAAGAGAUUGCAAAUGACUAAUAAAUAUGAAAAGAAGUUGGGGAGCAGCAAAAAUUUCUGGACCAAGAUCAGUCUUUACUGACAACUGCUGCUUUUCCUAAGCAAAAGUACCCUGCAGAGUUUAAAACAGCAUCUGACUUCAAAGCAGAACAGCUCUCCAGAUGGAGCUUACCACCCCUGCAACACCCUGUGCUUCGUCAGGUUCCCUGCACUUACAGAGGGACAGUGGGGUUAUUUCCAGAGAAGGGAAGCACAGGAGCCUCAGACUCGGAGCAAUGUGUGACUGAUACACUCCCCACGGUGCUGGGGGUGAGGCUGAGCUCUGGGCUCUCCUCCUGA
This 5969-nucleotide long non-coding RNA is filed under the name Taeniopygia guttata (zebra finch). RNAcentral describes it as "lncRNA (ENSTGUG00000020609.1)". The record is from RNAcentral. Lineage: Eukaryota; Metazoa; Chordata; Aves; Passeriformes; Estrildidae.